CACUCUUAAGUGGCUUUCAUACUUAGUUGCUGUUCUCUUAGGCUUAACUCCCGUUUAUCUGUAUAAGUUGUAUAAGUAAGGGAUUAACCAGGUGUUGGAUGAGAAGCAGCCUAGGUGAGAUCCAUUUGAUCUGUUAGCUGCUAAUGGAUUCUAUCGUCAUUUCGACAGUGAAAUAAAUCUUCCGAAAGACAGCAAAGACAGUAGUAAGCCCUGGUAAGGAAGAAGAUUCG
RNAcentral lists this long non-coding RNA (230 nucleotides) under Nicotiana benthamiana. RNAcentral's name for it is "long non-coding RNA (NBEN_LNC026064)". Lineage: Eukaryota; Viridiplantae; Streptophyta; Magnoliopsida; Solanales; Solanaceae. The record is from RNAcentral.